ACUCGUUCCACUGACAGCUCGGCUCCAGCCUGUUGAAGCCGUGAGCUAAAGAAGGUGAUCACCUGGAACAGAGAACAAUAUUGUUUAAACAAGCUGAUGUGGGAAACGUCACUUCAGCAAACAGCUUCAUUUCUAAGGAAAAUACAUGUGACAUGGAACUAACUUGUUUUUAAAAGAAUGGAUGAGCUUCUUUCUGAGGUGGGGAAACCCCUCUGCUCAAAACUACUUGAAUAGAGAGCCUGAAGAGUGGAUAAUGUAUCUGCUAAAGACAAGGUCUCAAAUUUCACUCAACAGAAAUACUGGGCACCAACUCAGUUGUGGCCACUGGAGUGGUAUGUGGAAUUCCAAAGGUAGUAAAAGACAUAUUUUUUUCUGGACUCAAGGGAACUACUACGAUCUAUCUGAUAGUGUGGAGAAGGAAGAGAGAUGGAACACAGAAGUUUGUAACAAAAUGAAAAUGAUGAAACACAAAGUAACAUGAAUAACAAAUAACAACUGAACACACUGGUAAA
This is a long non-coding RNA of Monodelphis domestica (gray short-tailed opossum), 512 nucleotides long. RefSeq lists it as uncharacterized. The record is from RefSeq and is a predicted model, not a curated record. Lineage: Eukaryota; Metazoa; Chordata; Mammalia; Didelphimorphia; Didelphidae.